CUGGAGGGCCACGCGGGAGAGGGUUGGAGUACGAGGAGGUUCGUCCGCCCCUCACUCCUCUACGUCCCUAGGACCUACCCCUAAGCGGCCACCUCCGUUUUCGACACGUUCAAGUACCGCCUUCGGAAUAACGUCAAGAGGAGUCACCGUCGUAAGUCGUCAAUCCGUCAUGAGGUACCCGUGGCGUGGCCGCUGGUGCUCGUCGUCUGGGCUCCUCUGGGGAGAGACUGCACUUGGGUCCUUGUUGUAGUUGCGGGGAACCGUCAAUCGUUCUGGUGUUGCGGGAACGGGUACGACGGCCUUGGUGGAGAGGAUGGUCACGGAGGGGCCGGUCACGACGGGUCGUUGGGGCCGCUGUACGUCGGGCACAGCAGGAGCCGCUGGGCUCUGGGUCGCGCCGGAGUCAAGGGGUACGGCGGCAGGAGGAGCAGCCCUAGUUCCCACGGUGGUGAGCAGAAGAAGAACGUAACAAGUCAAUCGAAGGGAAAAGAACUCCCUAUGUCAGUCAAUAGAAGGUAUGUAACAAGUCAGUGGUCUAUGUAAGUCGAUCGAGGGGAACAAAGGUUGUCAAUGCCACCAGAACAAGGGGUUUUAAGUAUUUUCCGUAAGACAUGACAUCGAUAUAAAAAUCUUUUUACGUCAACGUCAAGUGAGCAAUCUCUGUCUCUUUUUACGUCGUCAAUUGAGGAUUAUAACACCGUCAAGUGAACUACUUUUAUUUGCUUCACGUUCAAGUUCUUACUGAUGUUUCAGACGACGGAAGAAAGCCCAAAGAACCCCCAUAUAAAACAACGCGUAAGCUCACCCCAAAGAACUUAACCAACACAAAGAGGUCCCCCUCCUGCCUCGUCUACUCGCUCAUGUAGUUCUCCGACUAUCGGACGUAGGCCACCAUGCACCUCGACCUCUUGACGAUGAACCGGCUCGUCCUCUUCGAAGUCCGCCUCUAUCUAAGUCUCUUAUGUGCCGUACGCCUAAGAUUAAAGGUCACGAGUAUUGAGGAGUGCCCAGACAAACUAGAACAUCUCCCAUGUACACCGAGUAAACAAUAUCGUGAACGUAUGAGAAAAGAGUAGUUAAAUGGUACACCACCACAACUUGGUCACUGGCACAAGUCAUGGCGUAAUAUUACGAGUACGAAGUAGAAAACACAGACAAAGCGGAAAGUCUCUCAUUUCGACUCGGUAAAAACCACGUUAGAAUGAGAAGACCGGUGGUAAAAUAGCAAACGACCACAGGUAUUUUUAAGUUUGAUAUCUAUCACGGCACAAGAAGAAGAAGAAAAAAAACGCCCCUCUAUCACGGCAUAAGAUAGGAUGUGACAAAGUCUGAUGGAUCUUUUUCUUCGUAAAUCUCACUUUCUUCAAUCUUUCUUCAUCUCACGGAGUCUCGACUAGAUGUUGUUCAAGCUCUACUACCACUAGUCAGACAACGACUUGACUUAUGGAACUGGCGACUUGACCGGUGUAUGUCGCUUGUCCGAUCUUUUAGGAGCUUUCUGAGACUUGAAGAAUCUUGUUUUCGCCGUCGGAAACUCCAACACGAAAGUCAAUAAUAAACCAAUUAAAAGUACACUGAUGAACCGAAUAAUAAUACGAAAAAGACGUUUUCGGAAUAUUAAUACGAACAAGAGCCCUCAGUCCUUUGCACGUACCUCGUACCUCGUACCUGGCACCUCCGCAGCCACCAGCUCAAGUCGUCGUAUGUGAGGUCGCUCCGUGCAACUCCGUCCGGACCUUCGUCGAGCAGGCGGCCUCCUCCCCUCCGCUGCUACUACGCAAACACACCAGGAUCCCCUCCGGGCUUUCCCGUCCGCACGAAGACGCUCUUGCAGCCGCACGCAUUACUAGCACCAUCUUGACCGGUCGCUCGAGUUUCCGCAAGUCGAGGAAAUAUGCUGCGCUCGCGUUCCCGGAUAGGGCAAAAGUAGUACUAAAACAAGUCAAUCGAAAGGAGCUAGGUUGUCAAUGGGUAAUUUUUACAAGUGAAACACUCAGUCAUCGUCAAUCACACAUAAUCCAGGCCCUGAAUCUCGUAGAUGUUGGCCCGUGGGAUAUGGGUUG
This 2063-nucleotide ribosomal RNA is filed under the name Triticum aestivum (bread wheat). RNAcentral's name for it is "partial small subunit ribosomal RNA". The record is from RNAcentral. Lineage: Eukaryota; Viridiplantae; Streptophyta; Magnoliopsida; Poales; Poaceae.